Molecule: ribosomal RNA, 442 nt
Filed under: uncultured bacterium
Lineage: Bacteria
Description: partial 16S ribosomal RNA
Rfam family: Bacterial small subunit ribosomal RNA
Source: RNAcentral
CCUACGGGAGGCAGCAGUGGGGAAUAUUGGGCAAUGGGCGCAAGCCUGACCCAGCAACGCCGCGUGAAGGAAGAAGGCUUUCGGGUUGUAAACUUCUUUUGACAGGGACGAGCAGAAUACGGUUCCUGUCGAAUAAGCCACGGCUAACAUCGGGCCAGCAGCCGCGGUAAUACGUAGGGGGCAAGCGUUGUCUGGAUGUACUGGGGGUAAAGGGCGUGGAGCCGGGCUGACAAGUCAGAUGUGAAAUCCGGGGGCUCAACCCACGAACUGCAUUUGAAACUGUUAGUCUUGAGUAUCGGAGAGGAAAGCGGAAUUCCUAGUGUAGCGGUGGAAUGCGUAGAUAUUAGGAGGAACACCAGUGGCGAAGGCGACCUGCUGGACGACAACUGACGGUGAGGCGCGAAAGCGUGGGGAGCAAACAGGAUUAGAUACCCGAGUAGUC